Molecule: non-coding RNA, 31 nt
Filed under: Mus musculus (house mouse)
Lineage: Eukaryota; Metazoa; Chordata; Mammalia; Rodentia; Muridae
Source: RNAcentral
UNCCACAGUUCUUACUACUUCCAUUUCAGGG